AAGCAAGCCAUGAUCACACUACUGUACUCCAGCCUGGGUAAGAAUGAGACUGUGUCUCAAAUAAGUACAUAAAUAAAAUUUAAAAAUAAAAGGUGAGGUUUGCUGUCCAAUGCUGGUCCCAGCCAAGUAUGACCUUAGCAUCUGCUUUCUGCAAAGUCCCAGGUCCCCACUUGCCAAGGACAACAGUUCCCAGAGUGACUGGCCUCAGAAAACAAGGUGUCUGAGGGGAUGAUCAGAGGAAGGAGCCUGGUGGAAAUUGGACAGGGAAGGGCUCUGUCCAUGAGGUGGCAGUCGCCCAUAAGCUGUGGUGUGGGAGGAAGCAUAGGGAACCUAGGUUGGUGCUGGAGAUAGCAUUUCCUGGUCCUGACUUGGAGGAGUUGUUAACCCCAACAAUAGCUAUGCAAUGUGUUUUAAGCUGCUAUUGCAAAAGAAUCAAAACGUUUAUAGAGUAGAAAAUUUAUAGUAAGCUAAGGUUAAUUUGUUAUUGAAGAAAGAAAAAUAUUUUUUAUAAAUGUAGUCAACUGUACAGUGUUUCUAAAGUCUACAGUAGUGUGCAGUGAUUCCUAGACCUUCACAUUUACUCACCACUCAUUCACUGACUUACCCAGGACAACUGCCAGUCCCGCAAGCUCCAUUCAUGGGAAGUGCCCUAUUCAUCUUUUACCUUUUAUACCAUAUUUUUACUGUACCUUUUCUAUGUUGAGAUACACGAAUACACCAUUGUGUUACAGUUACCUGCCAUAUUCAGUACAGUAAUAUGCUCUACAGGUUUGUAGCCUAGAAAAAUAGUCUACAGCCUAGGUGUCUAGUAAGUUAUGCCAUUUAAGUUUGUGUAAGUACAUUGUAUGAUAUUUGCACAAUGAUGAAAUCCCCUAGUGAUCCAUUUCUCAGAAUAUAUCCCUGUUGUUAAGUGACGCAUUACUGUAUAUAUACAUAUACAUACAAACAAAUCUGUAACACAAAAUUAUAUACUAUGUGUAUUUACACUACCUAAUAUAUUUAUAUACAUAUAAACACAAAACACAAAAUUCCUUUUAUAUUUGCAAGUUUUGCCAAAGAUGUGGAGCAACUGGAACUCUCAUACGUUGCUGGUUGGAAUAGAAAAUGGCACAUUUACUUUGGAAGACAGUUUGGUAGUUUCUUAAAACGUUAAAAAGUAUGACCCAGCCAUGCUACUUUGAAGUGUUUUCCAAAAGGAAAGACAGCAUAUGUCCACACAAAGACUAGUACAUCCACCCCAAGUAUGUGGCUCAUGUUAGACACCUCAUCCCAAAGCUGCACACAUACACAUACGUUCAUCCCAGCUUAACAGCCCAAAACUAGAAACCAAAAUGUCCACAGACAGGUGAGUGGAUAAACAAAGUGUACUGUAUCUCUACAAUGGAAUACUACUCAGCAAUAAAAAGGAAUGAGUAACUAAUAGAUGUAACAAAAUGGAUGAAUCUCAAAAUAACUGUGCCGAGUGAAAGAAGCCAACCACCCCCCGAAAAGAGUACUCACUGUAUGAUUCCAUCUGCAUAAAAUUCUGGAAAAUGAAAACUAACCUACAGUGACAGAACCCGCAUCAGUGGUCGUGUGUUGGCAGGGGGAGGAAGAUGGGAACAGGCUGGGCAUGGUGGCUCAUGCCUAUAAUCCCAGCACUUUGGGAGGCUGAGGUGGGCAGAUCACUUGAGGUCGGGAGUUUGAAACUAGCCUGGCCAACAAGACGAAACCCCGUCUCUAUUAAAAAUACAAAAACUAGCCGGGCAUGGUGCCAUGCACCUGUAAUCCCAGCUACUUGAGAGGCUGAGGCAGGAGAAUAGCUUGAACUCGGGAGGCGGAGGUUGCAGCGAGCCGAGAUUGUGCCAUUGCACUCUAGCCUGGGCGACAGAGAGAGAUUCCGUCUCAAAAAAAAAAAAAAAAAAAAAAAAGAGUGGAACGAAGAGAACUGAGAGAGAGAGAGAUUACAAAUAGGCAUAAGAAAACAUAUAGGGGUGACUGAUAUGUUCAUUAUUCUUAUCAUGGCAUUACUAUCCCAAGGGCAUUCAUACACCAAAACUCAUCAAGCUGCAUACUUCAAAUAAAUGUAGUUUAGUGUAUGUCUAUUAUAAUCUAAAAAAGCUGUUAAAAUGCCCAAAAUGAAAGACAAAUACUUGGAUUAAAAAAGUUGAUGUAGAACAAUAAUCUCAUAGAUGAAUUAACUGCCGUAAGAGCCGAUCGCUUUUUGAGUAACAGGUAUGCUCAGGGUUGGUAUGGCAAUUCUUACAGGCAGUUUAUUAAAAUCUAAGAAGCACCAUGUAAAUGUGUUUAACACUUAUCACACAUUUUUCUUUUUUUUUUCCUUUUCGAGAUAGAGUUUCACUUUGUCACACAGGCUGGAGUGCAGUGGCACAAUCUCGGCUCACUGCAAACUCUGCCUCCCGGUUUCAAGCGAUUCUCCUGCCUCAGCCUCCUGAGUAGCUGGGAUUACAGGCACGCACCACCAUGCCAGUCUAGUUUCUCUAAUUUUAGUAGAGACAGUGUUUCACCAUGUUGGCCAGGCUGGUCUCAAACUCCUAACCUCAAGUGAUCCGCCUACCUCGGCCUCCCAAAGUGCUGAGAUUACAGGCGUGACCCACAAUGCCCAGCCAAACAUUUUUCUUUUACAUAUUUAAAAAACAUUCUAGUAGGAAAACCAUUAAUAUCAAUUAUUUUUUUCAUUGAAAAUCUUUAACACUGAGGAAGAAUACAGUUCCCAGGACAUGCUUAGAAAUAUAUUUUAGGUAGAAAAUGCCUCGCAUCAGCAAGAGUUGAUUUUUUUUUUUUUAAUGAACACACACCAACUUUAAGAAAAUUCCAUUAAGCCUCAAAAAGAUCAUACUUGAAGAGUUCUGACAUUGAGGCUUUUUAAAAAAAUUGCUGGCAAAGAUCUUUUAAGGCCACUGUUGUCCCCAGUGAUGCUACAAACAUCCUUACAGUCCCAGUGAGGCCACUUGUCCACAAACGUAAGCAGUUCAACACUCACGGAUUUGAGAUGCAUCCUUCAUAUGCCCUCCAGGUAGAGAAAGGAAAAAAACACUCACCAGCAAUGCCUCAGCCAGUCAGGCCCUCGGGGUCAUCUCCAUGAGACAGAUCCCAGACCCCAGACAUUGAAUGACCAGCACCUCAUCACCCCCACCAACUGCCAUCUGAACUCAUCCUUGCUGUUUUAAAAUCUGCUGAUUCUAUCAUAAUAGCCAUUUCACCCUUACACUAACGUUUCAAAGCUUUCCCAUUCUUAACUGGUAUUACAUUUCUGACAUCUAUCUCCUUUUAAAAUCGCAUCUCCUUUAUGCUUUGGUUCUAAUUGCCUUCCUUCUCCUCCUCCCUCCCAUUUGUGCGCAACUUCUAAGUGUCCUGCGUUCCGUGUGGGAAGCGGUACUCUUAGAAGACAGACUUUACUGUAAUAAGCAUGUUUAUUUGAACUAAGGCCAUUUGUAUUUUCCCAUAAAACAAACUGUUUUUACCCAACCCAAGAAUGUGGAUUAUGUUAGACACCCCAUUCCACAACUUCACAUACUUUUCAAGUUUACAUGCGAACCACUGUCCAUAUCUACCAUGAAAAUAGCAAAGACCAAAUAGCAGAUGUUUCCCCAGAUGCAGCUUAAAUGUGGCUGCAAACCUCAAAACAGCAUCCCAACUAUGGGAGGCAUUGGCAACUGUGGGAGUGGUGAUUCUCAAUCCCCACAGCAUAUGACAAUCAUCUUAACAACUUUUAAAGAUCCUACUGAAGUCCAGGUCACAUGCAGACCCCAACUGCAUCAGAACCUCUGGGAGGUAGAACCCAGGAUUAAUCUUUAAUUAUUAUUAUUAAGUUCUAGGGUACAUGUGCACAACGUGCAGGUUACACAUGUAUACAUGUGCCAUGUUGUUUUGCUGCACUCAUUAACUCGUCAUUUACAUUAGGUAUUUCUCCUAAUGCUAUCCCUCCCCCAUCCCCCCAACCCAUGACAGGCCCCAGUGUGUGACGUUCUCCGUCUUGUGUCCAAGUGUUCUCAUUGUUCAACUCCCACCUAUGAGUGAGAACAUAUGGUGUUUGGUGCUCUGUCCUUGCGAUAGUCUGCUCAGAAUGAUGGUUUCCAGCUUCAUCCAUGUCCCUACAAAGGACAUGAACUCAUCCUUUUUUAUGGCUGCAUAGUAUUCCAUUGUGCAUUUGUGCCACAUUUUCUUAAUCCAGUCUAUCACUGAUGGACAUUUGGGUUGGUUCCAAGUCUUUGCUAUUGUGAAUAGUGCCACAAUAAACAUAUGUGUGCAUGUGUCCUUAUAGUAGCAUGAUUUAUAAUCCUUUGGGUAUAUACCCAGUAAUGGGAUUGCUGGGUCAAAUGGUAUUUCUAGUUCUAGAUCCUUGAGGAAUCGCCACACUGUCUUCCACAAUGGUAGAACUAAUUUACACUCCCACCAACAGUGUAAAAGCAUUCCUAUUCUCCCCAUCCUCUCCAGCACCUGUUGUUUCCUGACUUUUUAAUGAUUGCCAUUCUAACUGGUGUGAGAUGGAAUCUCACUGUGGUUUGGAUUUGCAUUUUUCUGACGACCAGUGAUGAUGAGCAUUUUUUCAUGUGUCUGUUGGUUGCAUAAAUGUCUUCUUUUGAGAAGUGUCUGUUCAUAUCCUUUGCCCACCUUUUGAUGGGGUUGUUUGAUUUUUUCUUGUAAAUUUGUUUAAGUUAUUUGUAGAUUCUGGACAUUAGCUCUUUGUCAGAUGGCUAGAUUGCAAAAAUUUUCUCCCAUUCUGUAGGUUGCCUUUUCACUCUGAUGGCAUUUUCUUUUGUUGUGCAGAAACUCUUUAGUUUAAUUAGAUCCCAUUUGUCUCUUUCGGCUUUUGUUGCCAUUGCUUUUGGUGUUUUAGUCAUGAAGUCCUUGCCCAUGUCUAUGUCCUGAAUGGUAUUGCCUAGGUUUUCUUCUAGGGUUUUUAUGGUUUUAGGUCUAACAUUUAAGCCUUUAAUCCACCUUGAAUUAAUUUUUGUAUAAGGCAUAAGGAAGGGAUCCAGUUUCAGCUUUCUACAUACGGCUAGCCAGUUUUCCCAGCACCAUUUAUUAAAUAGGGAAUCCUUUCCCCAUUGCUUGUUUUUCUCAGGUUUGUCAAAGAUCAGAUGGUUGUAGAUGUGUGGUGUUAUUUCUGAGGCCUCUGUUCUGUUCCAUUGGUCUAUAUCUCUGUUUUGGUACCAGUACCAUGCUGUUUUGGUUACUGUAGCCUUGUAGUAUAGUUUGAAGUCAGGUAGCGUGAUGCCUCCAGCUUUGUUCUUUUUGCUUGGGAUUGUCUUGGCAAUGAGGGCUCUUUUUUGGUUCCAUAUGAACUUUAAAGUAGUUUUUUCUAAUUCUGUGAAGAAAGUCAUUGGUAGCUUGAUGGGGAUGGCAUUGAAUCUAUAAAUUACCUUGGGCAGUAUGGCCAUUUUCACAAUAUUGAUUCUUCCUGUCCAUGAGCAUGGAAUGUUCUUCCAUUUGUUUGUGUCCUCUUUUAUUUCAUUGAGCAGUGGUUUGUUGUUCUCCUUGAAGAGGUCCUUCACGUCCC
RNAcentral lists this long non-coding RNA (5503 nucleotides) under Homo sapiens (human). Its description in RNAcentral is "non-protein coding lnc-ACOXL-4:1". Lineage: Eukaryota; Metazoa; Chordata; Mammalia; Primates; Hominidae. The record is from RNAcentral.